GCUUGUUCAUGCUAUUUUAGAAAAAUGGAAGUUUGGUGAAAAUCCAACGCGGUCCCGCCACUGUAAUAAGCAAUGAUUGCUUUAAGUCAGGUCUUUUCUUCUAAGAUACUCUGGUACUAUUGUUUCGAGGCAAAACAAUAGGCUUUUG
Carnobacterium maltaromaticum LMA28 is the source of this 148-nucleotide regulatory RNA element. The record is from Rfam. Lineage: Bacteria; Bacillati; Bacillota; Bacilli; Lactobacillales; Carnobacteriaceae.